This is a non-coding RNA of Microcebus murinus (gray mouse lemur), 373 nucleotides long. Lineage: Eukaryota; Metazoa; Chordata; Mammalia; Primates; Cheirogaleidae. The record is from RefSeq and is a predicted model, not a curated record.
UGGAGGGCCUUGUGUACCAGGGUAAGGAACUUCAGUAUCAUCUUCUGGUAAUGAAGAGCCACUGAAGAAUUUUAAGCAGAGAAUGACAAGAGGGCAGUCAUUGGAAAGUGGACUCAGAAGUUCUUUCAACGUAUGAGCCUUUCAUCUGAGAGAACAUGACUGUGAAGAAAGAGCACUGGAUGAGGAGUCAGGAGGCAAUCUGCUAGUGCAAACUCCAAAAUUGCCCAUAUAUUCUGAAUUGAAAGACUAGGAGGCAGAGCUGCAAAGAGAAGCUUUCACAGGCAGCAGAGAACCAGAGAAGCAAGAAGACGGAUGACCCAGACGAAAGACAAGUAGCUUAGCAGGAAGAGCUCUGUCCUUGGCCUUGAGUUGU